AGAGUUUGAUCAUGGCUCAGAACGAACGCUGGCGGCAUGCCUAACACAUGCAAGUCGAACGGGAUCCGAGCUUCGGUUCGGUGAGAGUGGCGAACGGGUGAGUAACGCGUGGGAACCUGCCCAGAGGUACGGAAUAACAGUUGGAAACGACUGCUAAUACCGUAUGAGCCCGAGAGGGGAAAGAUUUAUCGCCUUUGGAGGGGCCCGCGUCAGAUUAGGUAGUUGGUGGGGUAAAGGCCUACCAAGCCUACGAUCUGUAGCUGGUCUUAGAGGAUGAUCAGCCACACUGGGACUGAGAUACGGCCCAGACUCCUACGGGAGGCAGCAGUGGGGAAUAUUGGACAAUGGGGGCAACCCUGAUCCAGCAAUGCCGCGUGAGUGAUGAAGGCCUUCGGGUUGUAAAGCUCUUUUGCCAGGGACGAUGAUGACGGUACCUGGAGAAUAAGCCCCGGCUAACUUCGUGCCAGCAGCCGCGGUAAUACGAAGGGGGCUAGCGUUGUUCGGAAUUACUGGGCGUAAAGGGCGCGUAGGCGGUCUGAUAAGUUAGGUGUGAAAUUCCCGGGCUUAACCUGGGCGCUGCACUUAAUACUGUUGGGCUUGAAUUCAGGAGAGGAUAGCGGAAUUCCCAGUGUAGAGGUGAAAUUCGUAGAUAUUGGGAAGAACACCGGUGGCGAAGGCGGCUAUCUGGACUGACAUUGACGCUGAGGCGCGAAAGCGUGGGGAGCAAACAGGAUUAGAUACCCUAGUAGUCC
This 752-nucleotide ribosomal RNA is filed under the name uncultured bacterium. RNAcentral describes it as "bacterial SSU rRNA". It matches the Rfam family "Bacterial small subunit ribosomal RNA", at positions 8 to 796 of the family's 1533-position model. The record is from RNAcentral.